GACCUCUUGAGGACUUGAAGCUCCACUAGAGCUCUUGAGCCUAGAUGGACUAUUAUACCUCUUUAGGACCUAAGAAGUGAGCAAAGCGUGCGUGUGUGUGUGAUUGUGUGAGUGCAAGUGUGUUUCAUCCCCCCAAAAAGUCAAACCAAAGUGUCAAACUCCUCUACCCUAAACAAACACCGUUCAGCAAUGUUUGUGAACCAAAACAAAACAACAAAUAGUCCAUUCAAGACAAUUAUCCGUUUUGUCUGUUCGAAUCAUCGCAAAUAAUGUGCUGUUCUGCAAAGAAAGAGCAACAUUUACCACAUAAGUUUUGAUGCGUUUUUUUUUGUUGUUGCUGUUGAUCAGUUUUCAUUGCGUUUGGACGUUUGUUUUUCUGUCAACACGCUUAUCGGUGUCCGUUAUCGGACGGUGUGGUGUCGCUUGUACGAAGGAAAACAGACAAACCAAAAUAAAAUUCUGAUACACGCGCCCGUUUCUGUGUGUGAUGCACAUCUUCCAACAGGUACCUUUUUUCGAACUGCAAUAUUAUAAUCGGACGGGCUAAUAACCGUCUAUGCAACGGGUUGAAGAGCGCUCGAGCGCCCGACGUGCGGCAAUAAACGCUGACAGCUUCAACGGCCGUACAAACCAAUUUACGAUUAUUGGGCUCAUAAUUUCUCGUGGUUCGGGCCGGGCCAGCCGUGCGUUAAAGGCGUUAGGCGUUGUGCCGUUUGCUGGCUUGCUGAGCACCUGGAGCAUAACAACAGCACGAAAAACAAACAGAUAGGUUUGGGCGGAUAAGGAAGACACCCAUAAAGCACGCACGCGAAUGGUUUGGCGACGGGAUCGAUUUAUGAACCAUUAAUCAGCCAGGUGGGACAAACAUCAUGAUCAUGAUCAUUCAUGAUUAUGGUCAUCUUACUCGUUAAAUAAACGGCCCACGAAACGAAAGUAACCAAAACAAAAAAACGAAACGCAAAGCCACGAGAAAACCAGUGAAACCCGAGAGGAACUAAAACAAAAGAUCAAGCACAUGGUUGGACAUACUUCAUCUUCUGUUCUGUCGUGUCCCGUGGUUCGGUACGGCUGUAAGACGAUCCCACCGAUAACCCAAAAACUCAAAUCGACACUAAAAACAAUUAAGCAAAAGUGGCAAGAUGUUCAACCCGGCUGUGGAGAUGAUUUAGAUGUACUCUGCCUAUCGAGCGCUAGUGUCUGCUGAUGUGAGUGUAUGUAAGGUGGUUGGAUCAUCUACUUCGCAGCAAACGUCACUGUACACAGGUUUGAGCUCCAUAUCUGAGGACUCAUGGGCGACUUGUAUAGCCGGUGCUGAAUCAGCAGAAUCUUCUGCCACCGAUCCCACAGCUUCAGACAUCCUCACCGCCUAAGCUAAGCCGUCGAUCCGAUAGGUCUUAUUUCAACGCUAGCGCAUAAAUAUACAUUAAUGAUGUGAAACACGAACUGGGCGACCCCGCAGGGAACGCACGCGCACCGACGCCGAACACGAUGGGAAUGAAAAUCAAUAAUGAAAACCGCACCCCGCCCACUGGUGGCCACCGUUUUCCUGGUAACCGGGUCCUCCCGCAGCCUCCAGCCUCCAGGGCGAGGCUUCCUGCUGCCGUUGCGCUGCAUGUAUCGUAAUUCCCAUCGCCUACCCGUCUGAUCCGAGCGUUGGACCAAAAAUUGGUGAAUUUAUCUCCCCCGGAGAGUUUUUUUCUUUCUGUUGUUUCAUUUAGAUUUUUCUUUCAUGCUGCGUAUCAUUUACAACCUUCUCCUUAAUACUACUUAGAAAGCAAACAAACGAACCACACAUCAUUGCUUGCCAUGUGACAAUCGCUUGAUGCUUACUCCCGUUCCUUCUAAUCUAUCGCCGAAGCCUUUGCGAUGCCGGAUUUUUGACACGCAAGUGAAGAAAAGCCGAGAAAGCAGCAACGAGAAGUAAAACAUCCAUUUAUUAACAUCCGACAAGAACAACACAACGUUACAAGCACGUCAAUAUGAAAACAUGAUAAUUUCCUAAUUUAUUGCCACUAUAAAUUUUAGCGUUUAAAGUAAAUAUAGCAGACGCAUUACGGUGGUUGUGUGAAGUAGCGACGAGGGUACGGCGAGGGACUGCCUCCUUUAUCUGGUAGACUUGAAAGACUUCCAAUAAACACCUGAAGCAUGAAUUAAUAACAUUAAAAACCUGACAACGAGAGAGAGAGAGAGAGAGAGAGAGAGAGAGAGAGAGAUGAGUGGGAGAAUUGACACAGAGAACAGCAAGAAGAAUCCAUGGGCAGAAGAAAACCCCGAAAGAAAUUUAAAUGAAUUGAUGGUAGAGAGAUUUGAAAGAUUUGAUAGCGAUUCGUGGUUCCUCAUUGUGGUGCCUUUUUUGUCAACGGAAAGGUUCGAUUUUAUUGUCUUUCCCACCGCAGCCUCCGACUUGCGGAGCUGACCGGAAGAGCUGAUUUUUUUGUUUUUGUCCCCUUUUUGCAAUGUGGUCCACGAAAUUCGCACGAAAUAGCCGGAACCGGUUCACAUUUUUACAGUGCGUUUAGUAUUAUUGCUUCAUUUCGUUCUCUCUUCAUUGCCCAGCUUGCUGUGUGUGUUUUUGCAAUAGAGUUUGCUUAUUAAUAUUUAACAACGCGAACUAAUUACGAGCGCAUGCGGCUGCAUUCCACAGGCGCAGGUCAUCAACACAAAAAUGUACCGCCAAACCCUUCGAUGCACUUUCAAGAGGAAGCUUUUAUUUCACUUUUCACCAAGCGUAAGUGGAUGGUCCAGAUAGGGUACUCGGUAUACGCACUGGUUAUUCGAUGCGAAACGGGAUACUACACACUGGCCGGUAAUCGAAUCAUGAUAUUUGCUCUCGGUUUUAUAUCGUGCGCGCUUCGAUAAGAGUAGAGUGAUUAAAGAGAGAGUGAGAGAGAGAAAGAAAUAAAGAGAGGGAUUUUAUUAUAUAUUUUUUUUUUUUGAGAAAUGCUCUCCAAACGACAAAUCAGUAUAAAUGUCCCCUACGUCGUCAGCUCUGAUCUGCGGAAAACACUGCGCUGUACUUCCUAUGUAUGUAUGUAGUCAUUUUUCCAGGUGUUAGAAUAACUCAAGGAGGCGUAUUACUACAAGCUUACUUACUGAUCAGAUGCUACAACCGCUCCCAAGACCUUCAUCUGCUGAAGUUCCUCUACCAACUCUAUAAGCCUUCUGGUAGGCGCAUCAACGUCAUUACUCGA
This is a long non-coding RNA of Anopheles stephensi (Asian malaria mosquito), 3191 nucleotides long. RefSeq lists it as uncharacterized. The record is from RefSeq and is a predicted model, not a curated record. NCBI's taxonomy places the organism in Eukaryota, Metazoa, Arthropoda, Insecta, Diptera, Culicidae. The transcript is spliced from 5 exons.